This 494-nucleotide ribosomal RNA is filed under the name uncultured bacterium. Its description in RNAcentral is "partial 16S ribosomal RNA". It matches the Rfam family "Bacterial small subunit ribosomal RNA", at positions 28 to 507 of the family's 1533-position model. The record is from RNAcentral.
GACGAACGCUGGCGGCGUGCUUAACACAUGCAAGUCGAACGGUGAAGCGCCUUCCUUUUUGGUGGGUGUGGAUGAGUGGCGAACGGGUGAGUAACACGUGAGUAACCUGCCCCCUUCUUCUGGAUAACCGCAUGAAAGUGUGGCUAAUACGGGAUAUUCUGGGUCUGUCGCAUGAUGGGUCUGGGAAAGAUAUUGUUUCGGUGGGGGAUGGGCUCGCGGCCUAUCAGCUUGUUGGUGGGGUGAUGGCCUACCAAGGCGGUGACGGGUAGCCGGCCUGGGAGGGUGGACGGUCACACUGGGACUGAGACACGGACCCGACUCCUACGGGAGGCAGCAGUGGAGAAUAUUGCACGGUGGGCGCAAGCCUGAUGCAGCGCCGCCGCGUGAGGGAUGGAGGCCUUCGGGUUGUGAACCUCUUUCGCCAGUGAAGCAGGCCUGCCUCGUUUGUGGGUGGGUUGACGGUAGCUGGAUAAGAAGCGCCGGCUAACUACGUG